This is a long non-coding RNA of Dermochelys coriacea (leatherback sea turtle), 888 nucleotides long. RefSeq lists it as uncharacterized. NCBI's taxonomy places the organism in Eukaryota, Metazoa, Chordata, Testudines, Dermochelyidae. The record is from RefSeq and is a predicted model, not a curated record. The transcript has 2 exons.
CAGUCUGUGGGAGGAAGCUUAAGGGAGAAGACUGGCUUCCUAGAGGGCUGUAGAAACCAGCCCUGUGAACAAGGCUGCCAGGACUUGCAGGUCCAAGGCCCAGAGAAGAGGGUGAAGGAGCCAGAGGCAGGAGCUGAAGGUGCUGGGGCUGUGGGGAAGUGGCCCAGGGAAUUGAGAUAGACUGGUGGUGAGAGAAAGGACAGCAGUGGCAAGCUGUUGUUUACAGGGUCCAUGGGCUGGGCCCCUUUCCCUCCCCCCCACUUGCUGCUGAAGAAGCAGCCAGGCUAUGGACUUCCAAGCUGCUGUGAGGAGUGGCUAGACUGUUGUGGAGGAGUUCUCUGGAAGGGGGGAACCUGGAUAGUGACAUGGCUGAAGGGCAGUGCCAUGAAGCAGAGCAGUGAGACUGGAACUGCAGGCAGAGACAAGGAUGGGAGAGCCACUGCCACCAGAAGGCAUACCUGCUGACCAGAGCUAAUUGCUGAAACCAACAGCAGAAGGUGCCAGUGUGAUCUCUGCCUGUGAAUCAGGAGGAGGUGGCAGCUACGUGCUAACUUUCCUAUGCCAGCAAAGCAUUACCAUUUUGAGAGAGCUUCCAAUACACUAUAUUUUUUUCAACAAACUGUUAAAUUAUCUGUACUGUCUCGUUGUUACAAACCACAAAGAAAUGAAUAUAAUUCUCUUUGACUCUUAUUAAAAACUGAAGAAGGAUGAUGAUUUAUAAGUACUUGUACUAUAGCCCAACACACCACUUAUGUAGUUGCACUGUACAUGUUUCAUUCUUGUUUUGAUUAGAAUGUGACUAGGCACUGCUCAGAUUGUAAUACUUAGAGCAAUAAAUUGGGCUAGUGUUGACAUCUUGGAAAAAUAAAUCUGAUUGCUUUUUCUUGA